Molecule: ribosomal RNA, 460 nt
Filed under: uncultured bacterium
Lineage: Bacteria
Description: partial 16S ribosomal RNA
Rfam family: Bacterial small subunit ribosomal RNA
Source: RNAcentral
CCUACGGGAGGCAGCAGUGAGGAAUAUUGGACAAUGGACGAGAGUCUGAACCAGCCAAGCAGCGUGAAGGAUGACUGCCCUAUGGGUUGUAAACUUCUUUUAUAUGGGAGUAAAAUGUUCCACGUGUGGGCUUUUGUAUGUACCAUAUGCAUAAGGAUCGGCGAACUCCGUGCCAGCCGCCGCGGUAAUACGGAGGGUCCGAGCGUUACCCGGAUUUAUUGGGGUUAACGGGAGCGUAGGUGGGUUGUUAAGUCAGUUGUGAAAGUUUGCGGCUCAACCGGAAAAUUGCAGUUGAAACUGGCAGUCUUGAGUACAGUAGAGGUGGGCGGAAUUCGUGGUGUAGCGGUGAAAUGCUUAGAUAUCACGAAGAACACCGAUUGCGAAGGCAGCUCACUGGACUGCAACUGACACUGAGGCUCGAAAGUGUGGGGAGCAAACAGGAUUAGAUACCCCUGUAGUC